RNAcentral lists this ribosomal RNA (497 nucleotides) under uncultured bacterium. RNAcentral describes it as "partial 16S ribosomal RNA". It matches the Rfam family "Bacterial small subunit ribosomal RNA", at positions 28 to 507 of the family's 1533-position model. The record is from RNAcentral.
GAUGAACGCUGGCGGCGUGCCUAAUACAUGCAAGUCGAGCGAACAGACGAGGAGCUUGCUCCUCUGACGUUAGCGGCGGACGGGUGAGUAACACGUGGAUAACCUACCUAUAAGACUGGGAUAACUUCGGGAAACCGGAGCUAAUACCGGAUAAUAUAUUGAACCGCAUGGUUCAAUAGUGAAAGACGGUUUUGCUGUCACUUAUAGAUGGAUCCGCGCCGCAUUAGCUAGUUGGUAAGGUAACGGCUUACCAAGGCAACGAUGCGUAGCCGACCUGAGGGGGUGAUCGGCCACACUGGAACUGAGACACGGUCCAGACUCCUACGGGAGGCAGCAGUAGGGAAUCUUCCGCAAUGCGCGAAAGCCUGACGGAGCAACGCCGCGUGAGUGAUGAAGGUCUUCGGAUCGUAAAACUCUGUUAUUAGGGAAGAACAAAUGUGUAAGUAACUAUGCAUGUCUUGACGGUACCUAAUCAGAAAGCCACGGCUAACUACGUG